GUGUUUGUUUCAGUAGCACAGAUACUAAAAUAGGAAAGAAACGGAGAAGAUCGGCAUGAGCCCUGAGCAAGGAUGACACAGAAAUGCUUAAGUGUUUCAUAUUUUU
Molecule: small nuclear RNA, 106 nt
Organism: Suncus etruscus (white-toothed pygmy shrew)
Lineage: Eukaryota; Metazoa; Chordata; Mammalia; Eulipotyphla; Soricidae
Source: RefSeq, a predicted model, not a curated record